GACGAACGCUGGCGGCGUGCCUAAUACAUGCAAGUCGAGCGAUCUUCUUCGGAAGAGAGCGGCGGACGGGUGAGUAACGCGUGGGUAACCUGCCCUGUACACACGGAUAACAUACCGAAAGGUAUGCUAAUACGAGAUAAUAUGCUUUUGUCGCAUGGUAGAAGUAUCAAAGCUUUUGCGGUACAGGAUGGACCCGCGUCUGAUUAGCUAGUUGGUAAGGUAACGGCUUACCAAGGCUACGAUCAGUAGCCGACCUGAGAGGGUGAUCGGCCACAUUGGAACUGAGACACGGUCCAAACUCCUACGGGAGGCAGCAGUGGGGAAUAUUGCACAAUGGGCGAAAGCCUGAUGCAGCAACGCCGCGUGAGCGAUGAAGGCCUUCGGGUCGUAAAGCUCUGUCCUCAAGGAAGAUAAUGACGGUACUUGAGGAGGAAGCCCCGGCUAACUACGUGCCAGCCGCCGCGGUAA
RNAcentral lists this ribosomal RNA (468 nucleotides) under uncultured bacterium. RNAcentral's name for it is "partial 16S ribosomal RNA". It matches the Rfam family "Bacterial small subunit ribosomal RNA", at positions 28 to 523 of the family's 1533-position model. The record is from RNAcentral.